ACCUACGGGAGGCAGCAGUGAGGAAUAUUGGUCAAUGGGCGCGAGCCUGAACCAGCCAAGUCGCGUGAGGGAUGACGGUCCUACGGAUUGUAAACCUCUUUUGCCGGGGAGCAAGCGUGCGUUCGUGAACGCGCGUCGAGAGUACCCGGAGAAAAAGCAUCGGCUAACUCCGUGCCAGCAGCCGCGGUAAUACGGAGGAUGCGAGCGUUAUCCGGAUUUAUUGGGUUUAAAGGGUCCGUAGGCGGGAUGCCAAGCCAGCGGUAAAAACGCGCUGCUCACCCCCGUCGAGCCGUUGCAACUGGCGU
RNAcentral lists this ribosomal RNA (305 nucleotides) under uncultured bacterium. RNAcentral's name for it is "bacterial SSU rRNA". It matches the Rfam family "Bacterial small subunit ribosomal RNA", at positions 337 to 639 of the family's 1533-position model. The record is from RNAcentral.